UAGGGAAUCUUCCACAAUGGACGCAAGUCUGAUGGAGCAACGCCGCGUGAGUGAAGAAGGUCUUCGGAUCGUAAAACUACUGUUGUUAGAGAAGAACACGAGUGAGAGUAACUGUUCAUUCGAUGACGGUAUCUAACCAGCAAGUCACGGCUAACUACGUGCCA
Molecule: ribosomal RNA, 164 nt
Filed under: uncultured bacterium
Lineage: Bacteria
Description: partial 16S rRNA
Rfam family: Bacterial small subunit ribosomal RNA
Source: RNAcentral